AUAAUCACUCGUUUACUCAUUCCAUGAGCCAUUGAACAGAAAAAUUGUGCGAAGUGAUUUCUCAAAUUGGUGGAGGAGCUGCGUUGGUUAGAGAAUUUAGAGGACGGAAUGGAGACCGAAGGAGCAAGAAGAAGAAGAAUUGGGUGUUAAAAAUGGAGUAUGAAGUGAAAGUGAAAGUGAAAACGUGUCGCAAUCAGGAAAGGUAAUGGAGUAAGAACCAGGUUCCCCACUAAGCACAUAGCAUACACUCAGAUUUACUAUUUAUGGUAAAACCCAAAGGCCAAGACAAUGUAGUCCACUCAGACACCCACCAACCCCACCCCAAUAUCCCCUCUUGUUUCCCUUCAUAAUUUUAUUUUCUUUCUUUCUCAUACAAUUUUCCUUCCAUAGUUUCAACAGCUUUAUGAUUUCUUCUUUACGUGGAAAAGAAAAAAGAAAAAAAAAAGAAAAAAAAAAAACUUUUUCCAUAGUCCAGGGAUCGCUUCCUGUGCUUGGACAGAGCCAUACGCAUCUCCUACUGAGGAAUAGGCAUCCCCACACACAUAAUCACAUAAUUGAAAUUCCUGUUUCUUUUUCUUGGGGGGAUAUUAUUGAGUAUUUUGCUAGACUUUUGUAGUGAUUGAAGCAUUAUAAAGCAUAUGGGACAUGGGUGGGCCAAAAAGCAGACUACCAGCAUAUUUCUGUACUAAUUUAGAAAAGAAGAUACCAGUGGGAGGAGGUUCUUCCACUGUUCUGUGUUGAGAUUAGGCUAGGCCUUAGUGCGGUUAAUCAAUUCUACCCUUAAAUUAUUUGCUUUGUGGAAUAUACUUUAUUACUUCACUUUUUGUUUUUUCUGCCACUCUUUCUUUCUUUCUUUCAUUCUUUCUUUUCUUUUGUUAGGGGUGUCUAUGUGGGUGAAAUUAUUUACGAGUAUAGUUACUAAAAGACAAAUAUUAUCUUAUGCAGGUUUUAGUAGGAGUGAUGGUUAAGGUUUUGUUUGAUUGUUCAAAUAUAUACAUAUAUUUGUUUUCAGAAACAUGGCAUAGAAUGAAUUGAUAAAAGUGUGUUUGAUUCAAGCAUUGAAUUCUUUCAGAAUCUAUCUCAGAAAGUAUGACGAGUUUAGAAAGCAUAAAGAUUUGGUUUUCUGUGUUCUUUGUUUAUUUUUUAUUUUUCGGAUUCUUUUAUUAAACGAAACUAUCUCAAGUCAAAAUGAGAUAUUAGUUGAAUUCAAAUUUAAACGCUUAAAAGUUAAACUAGCUGUGAUUUGUGAAAUAUAACUAUGGUUUCUUUUUCUUGCUUUCAAUAUUUUUAUAAACUUGUUUCUGGAUAAUUUUUUACCUUAGACAAUGUUUAACUAUCUUUCCAGCUUGAUGGCACGACGGCUAUUUAAUCCAUUGAACAAAUUCAUCCUGUCAUAGGCUAAGUCUUUUUAUUUAAAUGCAACGGCCAAGCUUGUUGAUGCCAUAUUUUCUAUGCUAUAUUUCCAUGCCACUCAUCACUCUCCAUUUAUUUCGGUUUUUGUAUGCUUAAGUAAUGUUGAUAAAGGCGUAGUGGCUAUCCCUCUUUUGGCAUUCAUAUGCGCUGUGUUAGAAAUUACUACAGGGUGGAACUAGCAUUUAAUUACCCUUCUUACCAGAAACUACCAAGCUUACUUUUCCCCAAAUGCUUUAAAUAUUUUGUGUUGAUGGGUAGAUUGUAGCUUGGUCAUUAUUGCCUAGUGGGCUAUUCUGUUCAAAAGUUCAUAAAACUUGUAGUCGUUGGUGUCAUGUCAUAAAUAGAACAUCCAUUUAUAGCAACGAUGGAUAUCUCAACUAUGAAAACCUUUUCCUAACGCAUUAUGAAUCAAAACAAUUACUACAGAACCAAAGAAAUUCUGCAAGUGUCAAAAAAUAUUAAGAGAAAUGAAAGAGUGAAGUCAUAUCCACCACCCAUUAUGCGACAAGAACGUUAAAUCGUGGUGCUGGGAUUGCAUAAUUUCAGAGGAUACGGAUUUGAAUAUAUUUGUGGCCACUUUGACCAAAACUCAUAAUUAGCUAAAAAUUAUGACAAAACAUACUGCAUAAUCUUGGAUAAAUUAAUUUAUGGACCAAGUUUAUCUAAUAAAGUAGGGAACAGUACGAGUAUCAACUCGUUUUGUUUAAUUUGUAUUGGUGUAUACUCACCACUUAGAAUAAUAUUUUGUUUUUAUUUAUUCUUUUUUGUUCUGUAGAAUUACUCCUAGGAACUUCCCUUUUACAAGGCAUAUAUCCUGGGUCUCUUAAUGGACAGACCUUUGUUCCUCUUCAUUGUCACACUUAAUUUCAUAAAUCCUGAGCGUGCACUUCAAUAUGAAAGGCAUUUCACCAUUACCUUUUUCUCAUCAUAUCAUAUUUCUCUCUUUUUGGUUCAUUUAAGCAUUGGCACCUUUUCUGCACGAGCACUGUUUUUUAUGAAUCUUUUCCCACUGAAAGGCUAAAACUGCUUGUUCGUUUGACACAUUUGAACUUCUAUUUCUCCUAAAAUUAACCUUAGUGAGUGGAAAAGCAUAUAGACAUGUGUGAUCAGCACUAACCUUACUGUUCAACGAUUGCCAAUGGGCUGAUAGGAACUAUAAUUCUGUAUUUCGAGUUUCAUUUAUGGAAAGUAAGGAUGAUGGAGAAAUGAAAGUUGUGAUAAGCACGAAUAAUUGCCCACCCCAUCUGUUAAUGGUCCAUUUACUACAAGAUAUGCACCUUGUAUUACUUUCUAGUUCUGUUCUUAUUUUUUCAAUUGACCAAUUAGACGUUUAGUAGUUGGCAGCCUGAUUCAACAACAUAACUAAUUGGAGAUUGCCCACUUGGAACUUUAAUGAGAAAGCAGAUACGUAUGAGAGCGAGGAAUAUAAUAUUUGUGCAUUAGUGGACGAAAGUCAAAUCCCAUCACUCUUAAUUUGAAAAAGCUUUUUCAGCAAUGAUGUUAAGUAGUUCAACUGCAAGAGUGAGAGGAAGGUUGAAUAUCUUCCCAAAAUGUUUUGAGGUUUUAUUAUCUUCUCCUUCUUAAUUUGUUUUUUCAGUGGAAACUAAUUGAAAAGCAAUUUCUUCAGUGUUUCUGGUCUCCUAAAGAAGCAACUGAUCCCUCUCUUAAUUGUAGGACUUUAUUUUCCUCAAUUUAUUGUCUAGCUCUUACAGUUUCUUGUUAGAGAUGUCAUUUGUUCAAAGACGCAUAAAGACCUGUUACGUGAGAUAGGAAGGAUUGAGUUCAAGAAUUUCUGAUGUGUUUUUGUUAAAGAUCUAAUUGAUAGAACUUCGGAAAUAUUCCCUUAACUACAUAUGAAAUAAUGUAACCCAAUUUACUUGAAUAUAUAUGUAUGUAUGUUUUUAUCUAUAGAAGAGAGAGCAUUUAGAAGAAUAACAUAAACAGCUAAGAUGUGUAAAAGCUAACAGCUCCAUGUAUAGGUAAUGAAGUUGAGGUUCGAUAUUAGACAGUUCA
Molecule: long non-coding RNA, 3426 nt
Organism: Cucurbita moschata (crookneck pumpkin)
Lineage: Eukaryota; Viridiplantae; Streptophyta; Magnoliopsida; Cucurbitales; Cucurbitaceae
Exons: 2
Source: RefSeq, a predicted model, not a curated record